AACCUGAAGUGUUUAAACCUAGGGCCACAUUAACUGAGCUUAGCACAUAGCCAUGUCAUCGUAGACUUCCUGAUGUGAGGCGAUGUCUUGACAUAGUUAAAAGGGAGUUUAGGGAUGGGGCAUGAGAUUAAUCAGGUCCUCCUACUGACAGCUUCAAACAAAGAAGCCUUUUAGCCACCUGGUUUGUGUCUCUCACACCUGCAUUCAGAUUGCUGGGACAAAGCUUUGUACCAUCGCCUUGAUCCCCGUUCUUUUCAGUUAAUGUCUCCCAUCUCAGAAAGUGGGAGGAGUCUGCACCGCCUGGGGAAGGCUGCUGAGAAGAAAACAGGUUCCGCGCAUUUCUGCUGCUGCUGCUGCUGAUGCUAAGUCGUUUCAGUCAUGUCUGACUCUGUGCGACCCCAUAGACGGCAGCCCACCAGGCUCCCCCAUCCCUGGGAUUCUCCAGGCAAGAACACUGGAGUGAGUUGCCAUUUCCUUCUCCAAUGCAUGAAAGUGAAAAGUGAAAGUGAAGUCACUCAGUCGUGUUUGACUCUUCACGACCCCAUGAACUGCAGCCUACCAGGCUCCUCCAUCCAUGGGAUUUUCCAGGCAAGAGUACUGGAGUGGGAUGCCAUCGCCUUCUCCAACAUUAUAGUUCUACCCACAUGCAAUUCAGAUAUAUGCAGAUCAUUGUUUAAUAGGUCAUCCUUCUUUAUUUGCUUACAUUUUAGGCCAGUGAAUCACAUAUUUUAAAUUAAAUUUUGUUACCCUGACUUAUACGUAAAAUAUAGAACAAAACUCUUAGUAAAUUUGAUUUCUGCCAUUGU
This is a long non-coding RNA of Bos taurus (domestic cattle), 806 nucleotides long. The record is from Ensembl. NCBI's taxonomy places the organism in Eukaryota, Metazoa, Chordata, Mammalia, Artiodactyla, Bovidae.